AAAACCACAAAACAAUGCAUGAAAACCAAAUAAAACCAUUUUCACCAAAACCAAACCAUGAACACCAAGAACAAAACCAUGAACACAUUUUCAAGAUUUGUACAUUCUUGGUGAUUUUUCAAACCCAAAAACAAAAGUGACAAGAACACUUUUUUCUAGCUUUAAAAGGAUGUGUGAGUGGUUUACAAUAAAACACAAACACAACCCAAAACCACCCCCAAAACCGUGCCCUCCCUUUUG
RNAcentral lists this long non-coding RNA (240 nucleotides) under Malus domestica (apple). Its description in RNAcentral is "long non-coding RNA (MDOM_LNC018127)". Lineage: Eukaryota; Viridiplantae; Streptophyta; Magnoliopsida; Rosales; Rosaceae. The record is from RNAcentral.